Molecule: ribosomal RNA, 575 nt
Filed under: uncultured delta proteobacterium
Lineage: Bacteria; Deltaproteobacteria
Description: bacterial SSU rRNA
Rfam family: Bacterial small subunit ribosomal RNA
Source: RNAcentral
UGGGGAGUACGUUCGCAAGGCUUGAAACUCAAAGGAAUUGACGGGGGCCCGCACAAGCGUUGGAGUAUGUGGUUAAAUUCGAUGCAACGCGAAGAACCUUACCUGGACUUGACGUCCUGAGAAUCCUCUAGAAAUGGAGGAGUGCCCUUCGGGGAAUUCAGUGACAGGUGCUGCAUGGCUGUUCGUCAGCUCGUGCCGUGAGGUGUUGGGUUAAGUCCCGCAACGAGCGCAACCCCUAUUGCUAGUUGCCAUCACAUAAUGGUGGGCACUCUAGUGAGACUGCCCGGGUCAACCGGGAGGAAGGUGGGGACGACGUCAAGUCAUCAUGGCCCUUACGUCCAGGGCUACACACGUACUACAAUGGUGGAUACAGAGGGUCGCGAAGCCGCGAGGUCGAGCCAAUCCCAGAAAAUCCAUCCCAGUCCGGAUCGCAGUCUGCAACUCGACUGUGUGAAGUUGGAAUCGCUAGUAAUCCCAGAUCAGCAUGCUGGGGUGAAUACGUUCCCGGGCCUUGUACACACCGCCCGUCACACCACGAAAGCUGGUUCUACCCAAAAUCGACGGACUAACCUUCG